This 27947-nucleotide long non-coding RNA is filed under the name Malus domestica (apple). RNAcentral's name for it is "long non-coding RNA (MDOM_LNC003384)". Lineage: Eukaryota; Viridiplantae; Streptophyta; Magnoliopsida; Rosales; Rosaceae. The record is from RNAcentral.
GUGAUGUCCUUCUUGACACUCCAAACAAUCCCAUUCUGCGUUGGCUCAGCCGUGCAGCCCCUGAGAAGCUCAAUGCCGCCGAGCCAAACCCCGAAAAUCCGAUCAAAUUGCGUCCCUUUGCAGGUGGCUUUCCACUCGAGCACAAUUUUGGAAAAUGAAUGAGAUGGGCAGUAGGAGGGAGGGGUGUAGUUAGCAAAGACUGGAGGUUUGCCGUAUGUGUACCCGAAGUCGUGCUGGAGAACGUGCUGGGUGCAGGGCUUGGUUUUGGGGAGUUCUAUGGGUUUGGUUAUUUCGAAGUAGAGAGUUGGUGCGGCAGCGUUUUGUGGGGUGGGUUGGGAGAGGAGCUCCGAUCGGAGAAGGUUAAUUUUGUGGACAUUGGCGGCGGAAAAGAGUGGUUGGUGGAGGAGGAGGAGGAGGAGGAGGAGGGCCAACGGAGAGGCCAUGAGUGACUCACCGGUGGUUGAGCUGUCUCUUGUUUUGGCGGGUUUUGCUUUGUUUUGGCGCUAUUAUUUAUAUGUAUUUAUUUGUUUGUAUUUUAUUAAGUUUCUUGGAGUAGAAAACAAUGGUGAGUUGGUGAUUCUAUAAACUGAAUUAAAUAAUUUCUUAAAUGUACUAUUUAAAUUCCAUCUACCAAAAAUAAGGGCGGAAUUAGAAUCCUUGAUUCUGAUUCGAUUCGUUCGAAAAUCAUCCCUUUUUAAUUGAAAAAUCAAAUUUAAUUUUUCAUUUACAUAAAGUCUUUGGAAUUAGUAAGUACUUAGAGCGCUGCUACCAAUAUAUCUAACUAAUGAGUGUGGUACCGAUAUAUUUAACCCACACUAGUAUAGCAGUAGUGUUAUUGAAAUCAAACUCAUGAUGCGUGAUUCUUAUAUAUAGGUAUCAUACCAACAAUAUGGUAUGAAAAAUAUGGUAAGAACAACAUUUUUUAUCGGUAAAUUGGACAUUCACUAAUUUUCAUAUGGGGUAAAAAUAAAAAAACAUUAUGUAAAUGGAGAAACAAAAGUGUAAAACAAUCGAAGGCGAUUUGAUUGAUGAGAUGAUAGCUCCACCAGAAGCGAAAGUUUAAAACAAUAUGACAGACCAAACCAAAUUGCACGCAACAUUGUAAGGGUAGUUCAUCAACAUUUUCAGUCUUAACGUUCGGCCGGCUUGAACGAGCCGGAGAACGAACUGUGAAAAUACUGCCAAACCGUGUCACGUUUCUCUAAUAAUAUGUUUGGACGAAGGACUUUUAAGGUGUCGUUUUAAAAAGUUCUCUCUUAUGAAACUUUCAAGUCAAACGUUCUAAAAACCGUGGAAAACUCUCACAAUGACUAAGGAGUUGGGUUAUAAAAGCUUUGAAGUUUGGUAUAAAAUUUCUAAAUUUUUUAGCAGUGCAAGAAACAUCAUAUUUUUCAUAAAAAGAUUUCUCAUUUCAUUACAUAAACUUAGAUUUACAAACAAAAUUACCUGAUAUUUACACGCAAGUUGAAAAAAUGUACUGCGAGGCCGAGAACGGGCUUGGUAUCGGACCCCUGCGAAACGGUGAGUUCGACGAAUCCGUGAAGGGUGAGACCAUGAAUCAUAUUGAGAUAACACAAGUUCACAUGAUCCAGUUUUCAGAAAUCAUUCAAUUCCAGGUAAAACCAGAACCAUUUUAAUGCAGAUACCUUAACUAGAUUCUUGAAGAGUACAUAAAAAUAAAAUUGAGUACAAAAUACUUACAUUUUUAUUUGAGGUACCAACAAACACGACUACACGAGCCCUCCGUAAAAUUUACCAAAGGAGUCCUUUUCUGCAGCAUAUGAAGAUGCAUCGAUACGAAUAAGCUAGGCACCGUCAUUGUUCUCAAGUAAAUCGGGGACCAGGAAAGUUACUUUGAGCACCAAAAGGCAACAGUGUGCUUAAGCCAAAAUCCAAAUUAGACUCCGGUUUUGUGGUGCACGUAAGCCUCACCAUAUCAUAGAGUAUGGUGUAGUUUGAGCUGCUUAUGUUUCUGAAGUAACAAGAUCUGGCACUAUCGAAUCUAUACACUUGCUGUGUACUCCCCAAUCCACUAGCUACCAAAUUGUUUUUUACAACCAUAUUACCCUCGGCAUUCUGCAGAUUUCUGAGAGAGCUGUUGGAGAAUCCUGAACCAGCACUUGCAGACUUCUUCUCAAUAAAUCCCAAUUCGACAUUUGUAACGAAUGUAUAUGAAUCAUUUGCUUGUUCCAAGUAGUCACUGUACAAGUAAAGAGAAAAAAUUUUGUUUGAUGACAUUGAGUGAACAGUGGAGGAUGGCGGCCUGAUAUGAACUGUAUCAUUGAAAUGGAUGAUCUGAUUCACUAUCUGCGUAUUACCAUCAUUCUUCAUGACCAUUGUAUUACUGUAAUGGAAGUCUUGAAUCGCAUCAGUUGUGAUAUUCCCGUAGGAGGACGUCACCCAUCCAGUCGAUGACACGGACCUGCCGGCCCUUGUCAAAAAUGUGCCAUUUAAACCCUUGAAAUCUGAAACCAAUGAAACAACAAGGGGCAAGCUACUAUGCUUUGAAAGCUCUCCUUCAGUUUUCGUGCUCUGCUUGUCCAACCAAAGAUGCAAAUUCGCGUCAACAUACCAAACAUUUAAGGCAUUUGUAACAUUAAAACCAAACUUGUGGCUCUUCCCAUCCAAUAUCUUCCCUAAAAAGGGAGUGAUUUCAAUAUCAUAAGGGAGAUCGAAUGAGCCAAUCGCAGUAAUUGGUCUCCACAGGAGCGGAUAGACCCCUCCGGUGAAAAUCACAGUAAAAGGCCAGACUGCACCAACAACCUCACCAUCUAAACUCACCACAACCUCCCUAAAAGGCCCGUUUCCAGGCGUACCGCUAAGAUUGUUUGCAGCAAUGUACUCAUUCGGAGGAUUUGAAUACCAAACUCAUCAUUCUCAUGAAAUGAAACAUACACCUCCAACACAGCCCUAUAAGCAUUCUGUGGAAUCUCAAAUUCCUUCAACUGUGUAUCGGUCGAAUUCUGGAUUUCAAACCACAACCCAUCAUUCAAAGGCAGAUUUCUCGAAAUGGGCAAGAUCAAAUCCGCCCAAGAAUGGUACCCAGAAUCCAAAUUUUCCAAAAUUCCCAAAUUUUGCUCAUAAUUAUAAUUCAAAUUCUUCUCAGCAGGGUAAAAAUGGAUGCUAAUAUUCACAUGGUAAAUCCCAGUGUAUGUUUUAUCUAUCAAAUUCCCAAGAUAAACAGCUAGUGUUUGAUUGUUCUGAAGCAAAGAAUAGUACCUUGUGAUGUCCUUCUCGACAAUCCAAACAAUCCCAUUCUGCGUCGGCUCAGCCGUGCAGCUCCUGAGAAGCUCAACGCCACCCAGCCAAACCCCAAAAAUCCGAUCAAAUUGCCUCCCUUUGCAGGUGGCUUUCCACUCGAGGACAAUUUUGGAAAAUGAUUGAGAUGGGCAGUAGGAGGGAGGGGUGUAGUUCGCAAAGACCGGAGGUUUGCCGUAUGUGUACCCGAAGUCGUGCUGGAGAACGUGCAGGGUGCAGGGCUUGGUUUUGGGGAGUUCUAUGGGUUUGGUUACUUCGAAGAAGAGAGUUGGUGCGGCGUCGUUUCGAGGGGUGGGCUCGGAGAGGAGCUCGGAUCGGAGGAGGUUGAUUUUGUGGACAUUGGCAGCAGAAAAGAGUGGUUGGUGAAAGAGGAGGAGGAGGAGGAGGGCCAACGGAGAGCCCAUGAGUGACUGGCUGGUGGUCGAGCUGUCUGUUGCUUCGGUGGGUUUUACUUUAUUUUGGUGCUCUAUUUAUGUAUUUAUUUAUAUUUCUUUGUUUCUGUUUUUAUUAAGUUUCUUGGAGUAGAAAACAAUGGUGAGUUUUUCUUGUUGGAGAAGACAAUGGUGAGUUAUUGAUUCUAUAAACUGAAUUAAAUAAUUUUUUGACUUUGCUAUUUGUUUUUUUUUUGUUCCAAAAAAAAAUAAUUAGGCUAGAGUUGAAAUUUUUUAUUCUAAUUUAAUUCGUUCGAAAAUCAUCAGGUUAGACAUUUUUAUUUGAAGAAUUCAAUUAAAACGUUCAUUUGCAUAUAGUUUUUCGAAUUAGUAAAUAGUGAGUACUUGAUUGAAAUGUUACCAAAUUUCUAAUUCCAAUAAUAAAUACAUUAAUCAAUUGUGAUAAUAAAGUGAGAAAUAGAAAUUGGAAUGUCUUGGAAAAACAUUGUCUCAUACAUUUGGAAGAGAGUGGACUGUCGCAAUUCAAGUGAAUCCAGAAGAAUUCUACGUGGCCCAAUAUCGUGAAUAUGGUAAGAUUUUUGGAAGUUUUAACGAAAAAUCUGCAGUACUGUUUACUUUAACAAAAAAUUAUAUUUUUACACUAAAAAGUCAAAUAUGGUACUAUUCACCUUAUCCUUUAUUUUGUCUUUAUCAUUAAAACUCAAAGUUUUCAAGUCAUUUUCAUUAGUUUUCUUAAGAUUUUUAUCACAAAUUGUCAUUGAAAUUGAUCAAAAUCAUCAUUUUGGUACCUUACUUCCAAAAUCAAUAUGUCGUCACUGUCAUUCACUAUUGCACAUCAAGUUGAUUAUUCUAUUAAGAUUCCAUCAACUAUUGUGUUAGUUUGUAUGUGGGACUCACAAAUCCAAUGAAAUAGUGAUGUGGAUUACACAAUAUAACGGUUUUUAUCGUAAAUGGUCCCUGACAUUGAUCAAACUCCUCAUUUUGGUCCCUGAGUUUCAAAAAUUGAUAAAUUUGCUGCAUGACUUUCAAUACCGCAUGUCAAUUUAAUCCUUCCAUUAAAGUUCUGUAAUAUUUUUUGUCACACUAAUCCAAUUAUACGACGCCAUGUGGAUUAACUACAAAAAAAUAAAUAGUUUUUUGAAGAUUUAAAACUAAAAGUAAAAUAAGAAACUAAACACCAAAACUAAAAGAAAAAAAGUCAUCGUCUUCUUGUAUGCUCAAAAAGAGUUUCUUAUAGUUAGUUAAUCCAUGUGGAGCCAUAUGAUUGGAUUAGUGGGACCACAUUACCACACAAACGAAAAAUAUUGAUGAAAUUUUAAAUGGAAUGACUAAAUUGAUAUGAUGUAGUGAAAGUCAAGGACCAAAUUUAUUGAUUUUUGAAACUCAUAUAUCAAAAUGAGGAGUUGGAUCAAUGUCAAGGAUUACAAUCCACGUGUCAUCAUUUCAUUGGAUUUGUGGGUCACACAUAACUAACUAAAUAGUUGACGGAAUCUUAACGAAAUGAUCAAAUUGAUGUGGGGUAGUGAAUGUCGGGGACUACAUUGAUUGAUUUUGAAAGUAAGAGACCAAGAUAAUGAGUUUGAUCAAUCUCAAAGACCAUUUAUGAUAAAAACCCAAUAAGGUAUUAGGUUUUAUUCAUGGGUCUUGAGUUCGAAAUUCUCCUCCCUACCGUAUAUAUAUAUAUAUAUAUAUAUAAGCAACCUGCAACAUAAAAUAAAAUAGCAAAAGGUUAGCUUCUUUAUGCUUCAAGAUUGUAUUAAAGUGCAAAUUCCGAGUUAGAAGUAAAAGAGGCGUGGCUACUUACAAAAAAAAAAAAAAAAAAAAAAAAAAGCGGGGGUGCAACUAGAAACAUAUCAAAAUUUUGUUCGAGCAAUGCAGUUGGACUCCAUGUUAUGCCUAGGGUAAGAUCCAACAAAUAAAAACUAUGCUUUAUGGUUUGAUAUUUUAAUUUAUAACUUGUGUUGUAGUUAGUUUUGGAAGUUAUUUUGUACCUUUCUGUGUUAUGGUUAAUAAAUUUUUGAUCGGAUGAUAUUUAUAUAUAUUUUUACUUCGAAUUCACUCGUCUUUUCUUAGUUAGUUCCUUAUAUUUUUAAGCUAUUUACGUUAUUUUUGUGUUUAUAGGAUUUGUUAUGCAAAGAAAAUAAAAAUAGAACAAGUGAAAUUUUAUGUAAUAAAUUCGUCAAAAGCAAAUUUAAAUUACAAUAUUGCUAAUCCAUUGUGACGCUAAAUGAUAAACCAAUAUUUAAACUAUAUAUUUUAUCAUUUUAUAAUUCUUUUCUUGUCUAAUUUAGUUGGAAGCUUUAAGUAUUUAUGAUACUUUUGAUAUAUUGUGUUUGUAGGAGUAACAUGAUCAAAAGAACUUAUUUUUCUGCUAUGUGGGGUUGCUAGAAACUAAAUGAAAAUAAAAGGAGACAGCUAAGAGGGAAUGAGUAAGCUGCCCUUGCAGCUUUGAAAAGUCAAAAGGAAAUGGCAUAAAAAAAUAACAAAAGGAGACGUGGGCGGAAAGAGCUGCCUGGCAGCUUUGAACAGCAAUAAAAAUAGAAGAGGGCAGCGUGGGGAAGAAAACAGCUGCCUAGCAGCGUGAGCAAGGCAGAGUCGCAGCAAGGCUGCCAGAGACGAAAAGGGGGAUUGACAGCAAGCAGAAAAGAGGAGCGGAAAAGAGUAACGUGGUAUGCGCAGAGAGAAGUGGACGGACAGCGCGGAGAAGAAUAAAAAAAAAGGGAAAUAUAAAUGAACUGGAAAGCAGAAGGCGCAUAAAAAAGAUAUAUAGAAGAGAGGGCAGAGAGCAGUGGGGAGGAGGUGAUUUUGGGGGGGGAAUUGGUGGAAGGCGGCAGAGGGCUGCCCUUUUGGGCAGCGUGAAGCUACGGAGAGAAGGGAAGCGUGAAGCUCGCAGACGUGGAGAGGGAGAGAGGUCAGGAGGUCAGCUCGCAGAGGCAGGAGAGGAGAUAGACACGGGGAGAAGGGAGAUUGACGGGCACAGUGAGAAGAAAAUUAGAGGCUUCACUCCAUUUCUCUCGGUUAAAUCUUUUCAAACUUCUAUUUUAUUUUUGUUUUAAUAAUGUGUAAUUAAAUUUAUUUUAGCUAGAGGUUAAUUCAAAGCCAUGAAUAUAUUUGUAAUAUGAAUUGAUUACCUUCGGUUGUGAUUUCAUAAGUUGUGAUUUCAAUUUACUUAUCCGUUCGUAUAAAAACUGAUUUGUGUAUGUUGGUUGAGAGUGCACGCUUAAUUUACAUGCAUGAAUUUGAUGCUAGAAUAUAAGUGAAUUUUCACCUAAUCGUUAUGAACUUAUUUUCACAAGUAGUAAAGGUUGCUAGUCACAAUCACGUUAAGUAAAUUCUUGGCAAGAGUAUCAUGCUUUUCAUAGUUACGAAUGCCUCGUCAAUGCUUAUAGUUUUCACAAAGUUUAAUGAUCUUUGAUUGUAUCUCUAUUGUGCUUUUCACGUAGGGGACUUUUGAAGAAUGUUUUGAAUUGUUGUAUGCGUUUUUCCGUCCAAUUCAAUAAACUUAAGGAAAACUUGAAGAUUAAAAAAGUGCUGUUCACGGUUAAUCUGGAGUAUUGAGAUUCACAAUUUAUUGAAAGAACAACUGAAAAUCAAUUUAGGUUGCAUAUGUGUCAUGUGUGGAGAAGAACCCUCUAGCUAGUCCGUCAUUUAUCAUUUUACCUUAAUUUUAUGUUUUUGUCAAUUCUGUAAUUUAAUUAAGUUUAAUUUACUUUUCAUCAAAACCAAACACCCAUCCAUUAUUAAAUUAUAUUAUUUAGUUAGUUUUCUUUAUUGUUAGUCUUUUAAUUUAAUUUCCGUCCAUUUCAGUUCCUAGUGUUUAAUUUAAUUGUUUUCAUUAUUUUGAGUCAUUUUAAGUGUGUUUCGAGUUAUUAGAGUUUUUAGCCUAAUUUUAUGUCCUUGAGUCUUAUUUAAUAUUUUUAAAUUAAUUUAGAAUAGAUUAGCAAUCCCUCCUAAUCCCCGGCCUAGAACGAUACCCUACUUACAUCUAUACUACAAUUGUCAAAAAGAGGGUUUAAUUUGUGUGCUUAUAUAUUUCGCAUCAAAUUUUGGCGCCGUUGCCGGGGAUCGAACCCGGGUCACCCGCGUGACAGGCGGGAAUACUUACCACUAUACUACAACUGUCAAAAAGAGGGUUUAAUUUGUGUGUUAAGUAAUUUUUCGCAUCAAAUUUUGGCGCCGUUGCCGGGGAUUAGUAACUUUGCUAAUCCCUUUAUUUUUGUUUUUGUUUAUGUUUAUAUUGGUGUUUGUGUAUUUUACUUUUGAUAUUUGAUUUAUUUUUCUUUCUUUGAUUUUAGGUUCAAAUGGAGCCGAGGGAAAUUUAAAGGAAAGAUGCGUCCGGCUAAAGACGUUAAAUCAAGCGCUUCUUGGGAGGCAACCCAAGCAUUCAACGAAGGGAGACUUUGGAAUCGCUAACCCAAUCAGCUUUGCAUUCUUCCAACCUUAUCUUUACUGCUUUCAAUUUGUUUUGUUUAGUUAGUUGUGUUAUUUGGUUGAUUUCUGUGAGUUUGUGUUAUUUAGUUUAAGUGUGGGGGAAAGGUUAACCAAAGUCUCUUUACAUUAAUUUACAUUUAAAAAAGAAAAAAAAAAAAAAAAGAUAAAAUUUAAAAUUAAUGAUAAAAAAAAAUUACAUAAAAAAAAAAAAAAUUUAAAAAUUUAAAAAAAAAAAAAAAAUUUUUUUAAAAAAAAAAAAGUACAAAUAUUUUACAAUAAUGUAAACUAAUAGUAUUCAUUGGUCGGGUGGUGCUUCGGUAGUAGGCGGGGCUUCAGCAGUCGGCGGGGCCACAGAAGGAGGAGGCAGCAGAGGUUGAUCAGUUGGAGCUUCACUACGCGGUGCCGCUCCAGAAGACGAAGGCAGAUGCGGUUGGAACAAACCCACAAACCUCCGAUGAUCAAGUAAAAUUUGACCAUCGGUGUCCUGCAUCUGGUCAAUCUUUCUCUUCAUGCUGGUGGCAUAAUUGUGUGCAAGCUUGUGCAAUUGUUUAUUUUCAUGCUUGAGUCCUCUAAUCUCCUCUCUUGAGACACUCUGUAUUUCAGCCACCAACGAUUCAACGUGACGGGUUCGAGCAAAUAGACGUUGGGCCAUGUUGGAUACGGAACCGGCGCACUGCACGCUAAGUGCCAGAGACUCCUUAACCGCCAAUUCAUCAGACCGCCUAGCGAGCAGUCUGUUAUCUCUGGGGGUGACAAGAUUCCGGGCCACCACCGCAGCAGUCAUGUCAUUUUUCAUCACCGAAUCCCCCACGGUAAGAGGACCGGUAGGGGAUAUGAAGGAUGGGCGCCAUAUAUUGUCUGGUGAAGGCGGAGCUGCCUCUUCACCAAUGUUCAAGUCAAAAUGACGAUCGGAAGGGCCAGACAUUUUUCAGAGGUGGUGAAGAAAGAAGAGAGUCGGAAUGAUCAAGAUUAAACAAGUGCAAGAAGGGAGUGUUUACAGGAGGGUGCUCAAGUGUGUUGUGGAACAAGCUUAACGCCUCUAUAAAAAGAAGAAAUCGGAGAGGCGCUCCUCAGAGAAGCGUCAUCUCGCAAAUCGAAGAGUCGGGGCUCCUUUCUCAAAAGCCGGAUUCUUUUCUCAAAAGAGGAGUUUCCGUUCUCAAAAACCGGAUUCUUUUCUCAAAAAGAGGCGUUUCAUUUCUUAAAGGCUGGGCUUGCUCAGAAACAAUGAGCCGAACCCCGGAUUUUCAAAAGAUCAAUUUGUCCAGACGUGUCGUCACUUGUCACACGCAAAUUGCUUUGCGAAAUUCUCGGGCAGUUUGUCGAAGCACCAAUUCAGAAAUCGAAGAGGGAAAUUCAACAGUCAAAAAGACACGCUAGCUUUCUCAAAAGCUGGGCUUCAAACCCACGGGCAAAUCUUCUUUUCCAGAUUUAUCCGCACGUGUCACAUGCUACCUCUACAAUCGACGAUGCUCAGAGCUCGAAGCGCCGAUUCCAGAUACCAAUGAGGAAUCUGCUUUGCGGAAAUUACGGGCAGCUUUGUCAGAAAGCGCGUAAUUUGUACUAUUCAUCCAUCUACCGGCUGCCGACAAUGAGUGAGAGAAUAGUUCCGGUUGUGAAGAAAAGUCCUAUAAGUAUUUACCUUCGCCUUCCACAGCAAAGGCACACCCUCUCAGCACUUCUUCAUCUCUGAAAAUGCAUUCCCAAAGAAUCCUCCUAAGUCACUCUGUAUUCCUCAUUCCCUGGGAUACCCUUGCUAACAACCCAUCCAGAGCAAAAGUAUUUCAUAUCAUAAAGGUUGAAAGCAAGAGUAUCUCAUAUCAUGCAUUCUCCAUGUCCUUUUCCUUGUCUUUGUUCUAACCUGCAGGACAUGGAGAAAUUGCUCUCGAGUACUCGUCUUCCACUGCUGAUGUACUUCCAAAGAAGCUGCCACAUCUACCUGAAGAACAGAUAAGGCAAGCGAAAAUGACACCAGCAGCAUGUGGAGACAACGUACAGAAGAAACAAGCAGAGAAGAAUGCAGCUUGCGCAAUCAUCCCAGCGGAAGGAGUCUGAGAUGAAGAACAAGAGAAGCUGCCACAUCUGCUUGGAGAACAAAUAAGGAACUGCAACAUUCCCAAAGAGCAAAGCCUUGCAGUACAAUAGCAUAAAAUCAUCACUUGCAAGUGAAAAGCUAAGUGUCACCCUGUUCAAGAGGAAAGCUGUGGAAAGUCAACAAGCACGACCAAUGAUUACUUAUUAGUUUUAUUCAUUAUCUUUUAUCGUAAUUUUCAAUUUUUCGUUUGCAAUUUUUUUUUUUUAAUUAAUUUUCUUGCGUUACUUAACUGAAUUAUUUCUUUUCUUUGCAGGAACUUUUGGUUAUUUCCACCCUUGAAGUUGAUUGCAGAAUUUUAGCUUGGGGGUCAUCGCUUGAUUUUACUGCAAAUUAGGGAAGUUUUCAGUCCAAUUGCGUUAUUUUGUUUCUUAUUAUUAUUAUUAUUAUUAUUUUUUUUUUUUAUUAUUUGCAUUAUAGUGUUUUCUGACAUUGGGGACAAUGUCAAGUUUAAGUGUGGGGGUAGAAAUCUCUAGAAUUUCAUUUGUUUCUGUGUUGUUAGUUUUUGUUUUCUUAAAAAAAAAAAAAAAAAAAAAAAAUCGGAAAAUUUAAAAAAAUCCAAAAAUAUUGUCUUGUUUCCCUUAUUGUUUUGAAUUAGAUUUUUUGUUAGUUUCCCUACCCAAUGAUAUAAUUGGAUCAAAUUUGAACCAUGAUCAUCAAGAACUUAGUUAACAUGUGUUUUGUGAAAUUCCUAAUUCUCUUGUUAGUUUUGUACAUGUUUGAUCAUCUUUGAAAAACCAAAUGCACAUAGCCUUGUUGAUGUGAAACUAAAGUAUGAAUUAAAACUUCAUAUGUGAAUUUAGUGACCAUAUACAUCCUAUGUGAGUUUUUGAGCCUAUUGAAAGUGUGUGCAUUUUUCAUACACUCCUAUUCUUUUCAUGUGUGAUGAACUUAUGUGAGAUACAUCUCUAGAACUUGCGUAACGAUCUUUCGAAAUGUUUGUCAUUGAUUGCAUGAACUUGGAAAUGAUAGAGGCAUUAGGUUUACCACCAUGGCUCAAAUAACCAUGUUUCCCAAAGAAAAAUGAUAUCAUUAGAUUACCAAUUUGAGCCGUGUAUGUUGAGCCUUUUAUUUCUUAUCACCAGAUAUGCAUACCCUUAUACCUGAAACAUUUUUCCUUACCCUUUCCAAGCGAGCAUUGCGAGAUUGUCUUAUGAGAAACGUUUGUGAAGUACUGUGAAGAUGUUUAGCAAAAGAUUAAGUGUGGGGGUAUUUCAUGUUUGUAUUAAAAAAAAAAAAAAAAAAAAAAAAAAAAAAAAAAAAAGAAAAAGAAAAAGAAAAAGAAAGAUUGUAUACGAAGAAAAAAAAAAAGAAGAAAAAAAAAAGAAAAUAAAAAGUUUUUUUUAAAAGUUUCAGUUUAAGGGUAUGGUUGGAGGUGCUAGAAGAAUCGCUGAAAAAAUUGAGUUCUUAUAAAUCUAAACAAAAGAAUUGCUUGCAAUAUAGCUUGGAACUUGUGUUUUCCUAUUCUUUCAUUUCAAUAACCCUAUCCCUAAGCCUCAUUACAUCCAAUAAAAGUCCUCUUGAUUUAAGUUUUGCAAUUAUGACUGUGGAGAAGUGAUCUUUAUGCAAGCUUAUGGUAGAAAUUUCACAUUUGUUUCUUUGAGCGAAACACAUUAAAACUAAACACAUGUGUGAUUGAGUGCAUAUCCCGUGAGAAGGUCACUAGUUUGCAUAUGAUGAUUUUAAAAAUAAAAACUUGAAAUUGCAUUAGCAUGGCUAUCUCACACACUACACUUCAAGGAUGAUUUGAAGACUACUGCUAAUAUUUGAAUAAGGAAGAUGAACUUGGAUUAGUUCCUUGAUGCUAGCUAUGGUUCUUGAUGAUUUGUUUUCUUAAAUGAAAUUCUAUGAGGGUCAGAUAGGGAGAAACUAAUGUUUUUCUUGUUACUUCUUGUUCUUGUUUUCUUUGUUUUGCUCGAGGACUAGCAAAAGUUAGUGUGGGGGUAUUUGAUCGGAUGAUAUUUAUAUAUAUUUUUACUUCGAAUUCACUCGUCUUUUCUUAGUUAGUUCCUUAUAUUUUUAAGCUAUUUACGUUAUUUUUGUGUUUAUAGGAUUUGUUAUGCAAAGAAAAUAAAAAUAGAACAAGUGAAAUUUUAUGUAAUAAAUUCGUCAAAAGCAAAUUUAAAUUACAAUAUUGCUAAUCCAUUGUGACGCUAAAUGAUAAACCAAUAUUUAAACUAUAUAUUUCAUCCUUUUAUAAUUCUUUUCUUGUCUAAUUUAGUUGGAAGCUUUAAGUAUUUAUGAUACUUUUGAUAUAUUGUGUUUGUAGGAGUAACAUGAUCAAAAGAACUUAUUUUUCUGCUAUGUGGGGUUGCUAGAAACUAAAUGAAAAUAAAAGGAGACAGCUAAGAGGGAAUGAGUAAGCUGCCCUUGCAGCUUUGAAAAGUCAAAAGGAAAUGGCAUAAAAAAAUAACAAAAGGAGACGUGGGCGGAAAGAGCUGCCUGGCAGCUUUGAACAGCAAUAAAAAUAGAAGAGGGCAGCGUGGGGAAGAAAACAGCUGCCUAGCAGCGUGAGCAAGGCAGAGUCGCAGCAAGGCUGCCAGAGACGAAAAGGGGGAUUGACAGCAAGCAGAAAAGAGGAGCGGAAAAGAGUAACGUGGUAUGCGCAGAGAGAAGUGGACGGACAGCGCGGAGAAGAAUAAAAAAAAAAGGGAAAUAUAAAUGAACUGGAAAGCAGAAGGCGCAUAAAAAAGAUAUAUAGAAGAGAGGGCAGAGAGCAGUGGGGAGGAGGUGAUUUUGGGGGGGGAAUUGGUGGAAGGCAGAGGGCUGCCCUUUGGGCAGCGUGAAGCUACGGAGAGAAGGGAAGCGUGAAGCUCGCAGACGUGGAGAGGGAGAGAGGUCAGGAGGUCAGCUCGCAGACGCAGGAGAGGAGAUAGACACGGGGAGAAGGGAGACUGACGGGCACAGUGAGAAGAAAAUUAGAGGCUUCACUCCAUUUCUCUCGGUUAAAUCUUUUCAAACUUCUAUUUUAUUUUUGUUUUAAUAAUGUGUAAUUAAAUUUAUUUUAGCUAGAGGUUAAUUCAAAGCCAUGAAUAUAUUUGUAAUAUGAAUUGAUUACCUUCGGUUGUGAUUUCAUAAGUUGUGAUUUCAAUUUACUUAUCCGUUCGUAUAAAAACUGAUUUGUGUAUGUUGGUUGAGAGUGCACGCUUAAUUUACAUGCAUGAAUUUGAUGCUAGAAUAUAAGUGAAUUUCACCUAAUCGUUAUGAACUUAUUUUCACAAGUAGUAAAGGUUGCUAGUCACAAUCACGUUAAGUAAAUUCUUGGCAAGAGUAUCAUGCUUUUCAUAGUUACGAAUGCCUCGUCAAUGCUUAUAGUUUUCACAAAGUUUAAUGAUCUUUGAUUGUAUCUCUCUAUUGUGCUUUUCACGUAGGGGACUUUUGAAGAAUGUUUUUGAAUUGUUGUAUGCGUUUUUCCGUCCAAUUCAAUAACUUAAGGAAAACUUGAAGAUUAAAAAAGUGCUGUUCACGGUUAAUCUGGAGUAUUGAGAUUCACAAUUUAUUGAAAGAACAACUGAAAAUCAAUUUAGGUUGCAUAUGUGUCAUGUGUGGAGAAGAACCCUCUAGCUAGUCCGUCAUUUAUCAUUUUACCUUAAUUUUAUGUUUUUGUCAAUUCUGUAAUUUAAUUAAGUUUAAUUUACUUUUCAUCAAAACCAAACACCCAUCCAUUAUUAAAUUAUAUUAUUUAGUUAGUUUUCUUUAUUGUUAGUCUUUUAAUUUAAUUUCCGUCCAUUUCAGUUCCUAGUGUUUAAUUUAAUUGUUUUCAUUAUUUUGAGUCAUUUUAAGUGUGUUUCGAGUUAUUAGAGUUUUUAGCCUAAUUUUAUGUCCUUGAGUCUUAUUUAAUAUUUUUAAAUUAAUUUAGAAUAGAUUAGCAAUCCCUCCUAAUCCCCGGCCUAGAACGAUACCCUACUUACAUCUAUACUACAAUUGUCAAAAAGAGGGUUUAAUUUGUGUGCUUAUAUAUUUCGCAUCAAUUUUCUUGUGCCGUCAAGGGUUCGUAAAAAACUAUAAGAACCAGCCUACUAAUUAGUGGCUUAUGCAAGCUUUUUGAAUUCGAUUGUAACACUUUUCCUCGGAGCUUCAUGAACAUCCCUAAUCAUUCUCGUUCUAGUCCAUUCACCAUAGCUAGCCACUCCCCCACUAGCAGUAGGUGCAGAGCACUCAAGACUAGCAUGCCCAAUUUUUCCACAAUUAUAGCAGAAGUCCUGCAGUCUUUCGUAUUGAAACUCAACCCAUGACUCGUUGUGUCCUUCCCGAGUAACCCAUCAUCCACUUGCUAGGGAUAUGGUAGUGUCUACCAGUACCCGAAUCCUAAGGAAACCCCUAGCUUUGGAUAUGUCCUCGACCUCCAGCAGCUCACCACAUCUACUUGCUAGGCGACUUAUGUUUUCUGUAGAGCACAGACGCGGUGGAAUACCUUUCAUCUGAACCCAAAAAGGAACCAAAUGCAUCGGGAUUUCUUCCAUUGCAAGCUCAUCAACCCAUCUUUUAACAGAGAGGUUUUGUUUCAUCACAGCCCAAGGCACCAUUUCCAGGAUUUUUGAUGCUAUAUUCUCAUCACGAACCAGAAUCACAUACAAAUUACCGUGAACCCAGUUGAUAUGAAUCUCCCCAUAUUCUUUCCAAGCACUCUUCAGGAUGUUUUUUACCCCCCAUUUAUUAAGCUGUUGGUCCACCAAAAUCUUAGCUAUCAGUUUGACUCCACUUUCCAUAUUUGAAAUCUCCAUGCCACUAGCCAAUUGAACAGCCAGAUCUUCCACUUCGUUUGUCAUCUUCUCUCUGAACCACUUUGUCUUAGUUCGCUGGAUACCUGGGGCACCAAAUUUCUUUCUCAGACUACCCACCCACUGGAUAUUCCAAUAUUCCUGAUUUCUACUGCAGAUAGCAAAAGGAAUAGACCCACUGGUGCACAGGUUGGUGACAGCAUAGUAAAUGCUCUCUCUUUUAUUCACAGCGUAGUCCUUUCCAAAGUUGCCUUUAAAUUUCUUACUAGUUUGUUGGGUUCCAUUAAUCUCCUACCAUUUGUCUCAUAAAUACCCCCCAUCAAUUCAAGGUUAGGAGACUCCUCCAUCAAGCCGUCGUUGGCAGGCCUCUCUAUCAGUACCUGACCUCCAAAUCUCAUUAAUAGCCAGAAACCCAACCCUCCUCUGUAUUCAGUAUUAAUGACAGCAAGUGUAGUACUGAACGUACCUCGAUCGGCCCACCUCCUCUCUAGAUCCAUGUACCACUGAGGGCAGAAGGCAAUUGUAGCCAGUUGCACCAUGCUGAUCAGGAAAGCCAACCUUUUAUUGACCACCUCGCAGUUCCACAUGGGAAAGAUGGCAACCCACGAGGUGAAAGCUCUAUUUAAUUGCAAAACCCACCUUCUUGAAGUAAGAAUUGAAAGCUUCCAAACCACACAAAAAAAAAGUUCAAGACCAAUUAGGGUUAACGCAGCUAAACCCCCAAACAAGAACCAAAACUAAGGCAUAAACAAAAACACCCGGACCGCAAGGACGAAGAACGAAAUUGCAAACAGCGCUGGGAACCCACAAGAGCUACCACUCACAAGGAGGGAAACACUCUCACAGAGGAGAGAACGCUCUCACGGAGGAGAGAACUACUGGUAUGGUUAUCAUGUUGUUUGAAUUUGUGAUGCAUUAUAUCUUAUAUCUAUACAUUCAAUACAUAUAUAUACACACACACAUUUUGAACUGUUGCUAACUAUUAGUAGCAAUAUAAUUGGUGUGGUCUACAUGUAUAACCAAAGUCCUUUAUUGCCACAUGUCGGUAAGAACCUCCCACAAAUGUGUCCUAUGUCUUACAUGGCCGGUCCCAAGCCCGGAUAAAGGAGGAGGGGGAGGGCGUCAGGUAGUCGACAGCCGGCACUCCAUGAUCACGUCGAAUCCUUAUGAAAAUGAAUCCAGAACAAAAUCGCGCUAAAGCUAGGGCGUCACCCGUAAGUGGCGCGCUGUGUGGCCCGAGCACAGUGAUAAGUGAGCAAGGGUCGCUGUAUCUCCAUCGGCACCCGGAUGCAGUGUUAAAUGAGCAAGGGGGCCAUAGAAACUUCUUUUCGAACGACUCCACUCAAAGUUGUUUGGGAGCAUAUGCUCCUAUCAACUUUACCCGGGACACACAAAAGAAGUACUUUGAUCCUAUUAGACGGGGGAGGGUGAAGAAGCUAGGACAGAAGGGUAGAGUUCAAGAGAGCAAAAUGCGUUUAGGAACGUGGAAUAUAGGAACCUUAACGGGAAAAUCUAUGGAAGUAGUGGAAGUUAUGGUGAGGAGAAGGAUAAAUAUUAUGUGCCUACAAGAAACUAAGUGGGUUGGUAGUAAGGCAAAGGAUCUAGAAAACUCAGGGUUUAAACUUUGGUAUUCGGGCACAAAUAGAACGAGAAACGGUGUUGGCAUCAUCGUGGACAAGACCUUGGUACAAGAUGUUGUAGAUGUCAAGAGGGUAGGAGAUAGAAUCAUGGCAAUCAAGAUUGUAAUAGGACAAGAACUUAUCAAUGUGAUUAGUGCGUACGCACCUCAAGUAGGGUUGGAUACGAGUUCGAAGGAGAAAUUUUGGGAAGAUCUUGGAGACUUGGUGCAAGGAAUUGCUCAGACGGAGAAGUUAUUUAUAGGAGGAGAUUUAAAUGGACACGUGGGCAGGGAGACAGGCAACUAUGGAGGUUUUCAUGGUGGCCAUGGUUUUGGGGAGAGAAACGAGGAUGGGGAAGCUAUCUUGGAUUUUGCAAUGGCAUAUGAUCUCUUCUUAGCCAACACCUUCUUUAAGAAGAGAGAAGAACAUGUGAUCACCUACAAGAGAGUGGGUCGUCAAAAACACAAAUAGAUUUUCUUCUAAUGAGGAAAGGGGAUCGUAUAACUUGUAAGGAUUGCAAAGUUAUACCAGGAGAGAGCGUGGCUAAUCAACAUCGCUUGUUGGUGAUGGAUGUACAUAUCAAAAGAGUAAGACAAAAGAACAAGACUUGGAAGUGCCCAAGGACUAGAUGGUGGAAUCUAAAGAAGAAAAACAAGCCAUUUUCAAAGAGAAAGGUAAUCACCCAAUGUGUGUGGGAUAGAGAGGGGGAAGCUAGCCAAAUGUGGGAUUCCAUGGCUAGUUGUAUCCGAAAAGUAGCAAAAGAGGUAUUAGGAGAGUCCAAGGGCUUUGCCCCACACCAAAAGGAAUCUUGGUGGUGGAAUGAGGAGGUACAAACAAAGGUGAAGGCUAAGAAGGAAUGUUGUAAAGCCUUAUACAAGGAGAGGACCGAUGAAAAUGGUGAAAGGUAUAGAAAAGCGAAGCAAGAGGCGAAGAAAGCUGUCAGAGAAGCUAAGUUAGCGGCUUACGACGAUAUGUAUAAACGACUAGAUACCAAAGAAGGAGAGUUGGAUAUCUAUAAACUAGCUAGAGCAAGGGAAAAGAAGACAAGGGACCUAAACCAAGUGAGGUGCAUCAAGGAUGAGGAUGGAAAGGUUCUUGCUACAGAGAACGCGGUUAAAGACAGAUGGAGAGGUUAUUUUCAUAAUCUUUUCAAUGAAGGACAUGAAAUGAGUGCUUCUUUAGGGGAGUUGAGUAACUCAGAAGAGUGUAGAAACUACUCUUUUUAUCGUCGAAUCCGGAAGGAAGAAGUGGUUGUAGCUUUGAAGAAGAUGAAGCAUAAAAAAGCAAUAGGCCCAGACGAUAUACCAAUCGAAGUGUGGAAACUUUUGGGAGAGACAGGUAUAACAUGGCUCACUGACCUUUUCAAUAGGAUUUUGAAAACGAAGAAGAUGCCAAAUGAGUGGCGAACGAGCACUUUGGUGCCUAUCUACAAGAAUAAGGGCGACGUACAAAAUUGCAUGAACUAUAGGGGUAUUAAGCUAAUGAGUCAUACAAUGAAGCUCUGGGAGAGAGUCAUUGAGCAUAGAUUGAGGCAAGAGACACACGGGUUUCGGACAACCAAUUCGGGUUCAUGCCAGGGCGCGCUCAACCAUGGAGGCAAUCUAUCUCUUACGAAGAUUGAUGGAAAGAUAUAGAGAUGGGAAAAAGGAUUUACACAUGGUCUUUAUAGAUUUGGAAAAAGCGUAUGAUAGGGUCCCAAGAGACAUUCUUUGGAGGAUUUUAGAGAAGAAAGGAGUACGAGUAGCAUAUAUCCAAGCUAUAAAGGAUAUGUAUGAAGGAGCAAAGACUGCCGUAAGAACUCAUGAAGGACAAACCGAAAGCUUUCCCAUAACUGUAGGAUUACAUCAAGGCUCAUCCUUAAGUCCUUACCUUUUUGCGUUGGUAAUGGAUGAGUUAACAGGACAUAUUCAAGAUGAUAUUCCUUGGUGUAUGCUUUUCGCAGACGAUAUAGUGUUGAUAGAUGAAACUCAGGAAGGGGUAAAUGCAAAGCUUAACCUUUGGAGAGAAGUGUUGGAAUCUAAAGGUCUUCGCCUAAGCCGAUCAAAGACAGAAUAUAUAUGGAGUGCAAGUUCAGUGCAAAUGGAGGCCAAAACGAGUUAGGGGUGAGGAUCGGAGAUCAAGAAAUACCAAAGAGCGACCGUUUUCGUUACCUAGGAUCUAUCUUGCAAAAGAACGGAGAAUUAGAUGGAGAUCUCAACCAUAGAAUACAAGCUGGAUGGAUGAAGUGGAAGAGUGCAUCCGGCGUGUUGUGUGACCGCCGUAUGCCACUGAAGCUCAAGGGAAAAUUUUAUAGGACGGCAAUAAGGCCGGCGAUGCUGUAUGGCACAGAAUGUUGGGCGGUGAAACAUCAACACGUACACAAAAUGGGUGUAGCGGAGAUGAGGAUGCUUCGUUGGAUGUGUGGGCACACGAGAAAGGAUAAGAUUAGGAAUGAGGAUAUCCGGGGUAAAGUAGGAGUAGCCGAAAUUGAAGGAAAGAUGAGAGAAAAUCGGUUACGGUGGUUUGGACAUGUGCAAAGAAGGCCUACUGACGCUCCGAUUAGAAGAUGCGACUAUGGGACAGAGGUUCAGGGCCGAAGGGGUAGAGGAAGACCUAGGAAAACUUUGGAAGAGACUCUAAGAAAAGACUUAGAGUACUUGGAUCUAACGAAGGACAUGACACAGGAUCGAGCACAAUGGCGUUCUAAGAUUCAUAUAGCCGAUCCCACUCAGUGACUUGGAUUUUCCAAGUCUCCAACCGAGAAGUUUUCCUCACUCGGAAAAUUAAGGGAACACUACCCCAACCUACAUGCUCCACUCAGAAAGCUUCAACAUACAAGCUUCAACAAAAGAAAAUUCAAAGAACUUAGCGAAGAAGGCUUUGGUGUAUUUAACACAAUACGUUGAAAUGAAGGAAAGCUUAUUUAUUGAUAUCCCCGAUAAGCUACAAAUAUGUACAUAUACAUGAGUCAAAAUAAACAACACAAGAGGGAGCCUUCACAAAGGUUGCUUAGGAGAAGUCUCAGCAGUCGGUAGAGCCCCAGAAAGAGAAGGCACCGGAGGGGGAUCAUUUGGAGCCUCAGUACUGGACAGAACCCUAGAAGGAGGAGGCAUCAGAGGUUGAUCAUUUGGAGCUUCAUUACGCGGUACAGCCCCAGAAGACGAAGGCAAUAAAUGCCUUUGGAACAAACCCACAAAUCUCUGAUGAUCAAGUAAAACCUGACCAUCAGUUUCCUUCAUCUGGUCAAGCUUCCUCUUCAUGUUUGUAGCAUAGUCAUGUGCGAGCCGGUGCAACUGUUUAUUCUCAUGCUUGAGCCCUCUAAUCUCCUGUUUGAGACUCAUCACUUCAGCCGCCAAUGAUUCAACUUGGCGGGUUCGAGCAAAUAGGCGUUGGGCCAUAUUAGACACAGAACCUGCACACUGAACACACUGAGAGCCAGCGAAUCCUUAACAGCUAACUCAUCAGACCGUUUGGAAAGUAGUCUGUUAUCUUUGGGAGUGAGAAGGUUCCUGGCCACCACCGCAGCGGUCAUAUCAUUCUUCAUCACGGAAUCCCCAACGGUAAGAGGACCAGUAGGGGAGACGAAGGAUGGGCGCCAUAUGUUGUCUGGAGAAGGCGGGGCUGCCUCUUCAACAAGGUUCAAGUCAAAACGACGGUCGGAGGGGCCAGACAUUUUCAAAGGUGUUGAAGAGAGAAGAGGUCGGACAAAUCAAGAUCUUAGAAGUGCAAGAAUGAAGCUUCUACUGGUGGAGAUUCAAGUGUGCUUUGGAACUUAAUGCCAGCCCCUAUAAAAAUCUGCACUCGACGGAGCUUCAGAAAUCGAAGAGGCGCCUGCUCAGAAAUCGAAGAGGCGUUUGCUUUCUCAAAAGCUGGGCUGCUUAGAGAUCACGAGGGUUGAUCUCAGAAAUCGAAGAGGCGUUUGCUUUCUCAAAAGUUGGGCUGCUCAAAGACCACGAAGGCCGAUCUCAGAAAUCGAAGAGGCGCUCGCUUUCUCAAAAGCUGGGCUCCCCAGAGACCACGAGGGCCGAUCUCAGAAAUCGAAGAGGCACCUACUUUUCCAGCCUUGUCAGCACCUGUCACACGCACACUCAGCUUUGCGGAAAUUAUGGGCAUUCUGUCGAAGACUUCUGGGGAAGUAGAAAACACAUGAAUCUUACUGUUCAAUCACCCACUUCCCACACGCAACAAUAGCUCAUGGGUACCACAGAUAACUUUGCCAAAGUUCUCUGCCAAAGUUGAGCACGUGAAGCUUGCAGCUCCCACUACAUCGCUCUGACCAAGAAGGGUAAAAGAAUAGCAAAGAAACAGCACUAACAAAGUUUAGACCCAUAAAUUUUGAAGGUCUAGCUACCAUAUUAUUACCCACAAGGGUAAAGGAACAGUACCACUGCUGGAUAAUUGGAAAGUCCCUGUGUGUCAACCUCUGUGCUUCGUGGCAAGGUAGACUAGCAAACAUGCCCAACCUUUACUCACAUUCGAGAAAACACUCCCAAUAAGAUUGCUUGCUCCAAAAUCGAAGAGGCACCGUCCUCCGAAUCUCGAGAGCCAGACUACUUUUCUUAAAAAUCGAAGAGAGGGUAAAGGAACAGUACCAUUGCUGGAUAAUUGGAAAGUCCCUGUGUGUCAACCUCUGUGCUUCGUGGCAAGGUAGACUAGCAAACAUGCCCAACCUUUACUCACAUUCGAGAAAACACUCCCAACAAGAUUGCUUGCUCCAAAAUCGAAGAGGCACCGCCCUCCGAAUCUCGAGAGCCAGACUCCCAACAUGAUUACUUUCUCAAAAAUCGAAGAGACACUGCUCCCCGAAUCUUCGAGAGCCAGACCCCCAGCAUGAUUGCUUUCUCAAAAAUCGAUGAGGCAUCGUUCUCCGAAUCAAUCGAAGAGGCGCUCGCUUUCUCAAAAGCUGGGCUGCUCAGAGACCACGAGGGCCGAUCUCAGAAAUCGAAGAGGCACCUACUUUUCUAGCCUUGUCAGCACCUGUCACACGCACACUCAGCUUUGCAGAAAUUAUGGGCAUUCUGUCGAAGACUUCUGGUGAAGUAGAAAGCACAUGAAUCUUACUGUUCAAUCACCCACUUCCCACACGCAACAAUAGCUCAUGGGUACCACAGAUAACUUUGCCAAAGUUCUCUGCCAAAGUUGAGCACGUGAAGCUUGCAGCUCCCACUACAUCGCUCUGACCAAGAAAGGUAAAAGAAUAGCAAAGAAACAGCACUAACAAAGUUUAGACACAUAAAUUUUGAAGGUCUAGCUACCAUAUUAUUACCCACAAGGGUAAAGGAACAGUACCACUGCUGGAUAAUUGGAAAGUCCCUGUGUGUCAACCUCUGUGCUUCGUGGCAAGGUAGACUAGCAAACAUGCCCAACCUUUACUCACAUUCGAGAAAACACUCCCAACAAGAUUGCUUGCUCCAAAAUCGAAGAGGCACCGUCCUCCGAAUCUCGAGAGCCAGACUCCCAACAUGACUACUUUCUCAAAAUCGAAGAGAGGGUAAAGGAACAGUACCAUUGCUGGAUAAUUGGAAAGUCCCUGUGUGUCAACCUUUGUGCUUCGUGGCAAGGUAGACUAGCAAACAUGCCCAACCUUUACUCACAUUCGAGACAACACUCCCAACAAGAUUGCUUGCUCCAAAAUCGAAGAGGCACCGCCCUCCGAAUCUCGAGAGCCAGACUCCCAACAUGAUUACUUCCUCAAAAAUCAAAAUCGAAGAGACACUGCUCUCCGAAUCUCGAGAGCCAGACCCCCAGCAUGAUUGCUUUCUCAAAAAUCGAAGAGGCAUCGUUCUCCGAAUCUCGAGAGCCAGAUACCACAGACCACUUUUUCAAAGUGCUCUGACAGAGUUAAAACAUGUGAAACUGGCAGCUCCCACUACCGUGCUAUGACCAAGCAGGGUAAAGGAAUAGCAUUACUACUUGUUGUUAGGGAGACUCCUAUAUAUGUCGACCUCCAUCCCCAACGGACAGGCAGACCUGCAAAAAUGCUCAACCCUUCAUCAUAUCUGAGAGGGCACUCCCAACGAAGCCUUUCGAAAUAUUCAGCUUUCUUUCCCCCCGAUAAUACCUCUGCAAACAAGCUAUACUAGAGCAAGAAUAUCUCAUAUCAUCAGGGUUAAAAGCAAGAGUAUCCCAUAUCAUGCUUUUUUCCCUGUCUUUUCCUUUGGCCUUGUUUUUACCUGCAAGACAAGGAGAAAGAGAGCAAUCAGUCAGCACUUGGAAUCAAGCUUCCAGCCAGGAACUGACUGCCUGGAACCCCUUACCUGAUUACUUACCUGGCAUUGCUCUCGAGUACUCAUCUUCAACAUCUUAUGUUUCCAGGGAAGAUUCCGCAUCUGCUUGAGGAACAGAUAGGGCAAGUGCGAAGGAUACAAGGAAGCAUGUGGAGACAAGCGUAACAGCACACGUGCCGAUACAUCCAUUACUCUGUCAAAAGCAAAAGUAUCCCAUAUCAGCAGGGUGGAACGUACUCUAGAUUUGAUGGACUUGUUUUGACCCUCAAAUUCUUCAGUCGGCCUUAUACUCUGGAGGAAACCAGAAAACCCUCCAGCUCAGUUCAAGAAUAAGCCUGUGGAAAGUUACUUCUUCAAAAGCAAAAGUAUCUCAUAUAUCAUCUCUUUCUCAUUUUUCUUCUCUUUAUCCUUCAUGCUGCUGCAAGAUGGGGAGAAGGUGAACAAUCAGUCCGGAGCUCUGAUUGCUUACCUUGUCUGUCACCUCUUUCAGCAGACCCCCUAGCUCGGCGACUUGGGGACUCCUACUACAUGGUUUGUAUCGCGCUUGACCAAGCCUGAAACUACAAGUAAGCUUCAAGUGAAAUUGAUACAUUACCUUGUGCAUCUCCACCAGUUAAAGAUACCACCCCUGGAUGGAGGAAGAGUACUUCCAGAGAAGAUGCCACAUCUACCUAUGAGACAGAUAAGGCAAGUCAAGACGACACCACACUCCGAUACUUAGAAGUUUCGUGAUUACGAGAUCAUUCUCCCACAAUAUUUCCUAAUGUCAUUUGUACUAAAUCAUUCACUUGUACUCACUAAAGGAGAGCUUGAACCUAUGUACUUGUGUAAACCCUUCACAAUUAAUGAGAACUCUUCUAUUCCGUGGACGUAGCCAAUCUGGGUGAACCACGUACAUCUUGUGUUUGCUUUCCUAUCUCUAUCCAUUUAUAUACUUAUCCACACUAAUGACCGGAGCAAUCUAGCGAAGAUCACAAAAAGCGACCGUUUUCGCUACCUAGGAUCUAUCUUGCAAGAGAACGGAGAAUUAGAUGGAGAUCUCAACCAUAGAAUACGAGCUGGAUGGAUGAAGUGUAAGAGUGCAUCCGGCGUGUUGUGUGACCGUCGUAGGCCACUGAAGCUCAAGGGAAAAUUUUAUAGGACGGCAAUAAGGCCAGCGAUGUUGUAUGGCACAGAAUGUUGGGCGGUGAAGCAUCAACACGUACACAAAAUGGGUGUAGCGGAGAUGAGGAUGCUUCGUGGGAUGUGUGGGCACACGAGAAAGGAUAAGAUUGGGAAUGAGGAUAUCCGAGGUAAAGUAGGAGUAGCCGAAAUUGUAGGAAAGAUGAGAGAAAAUCGGCUCCGGUGAUUUGGACAUGUGCAAAGAAGGCCGAAUGACGCUCCGGUUCGAAGAUGUGACUACGGGACAGAGGUUCAGGGCCGAAGGGGUAGAGAAAGACCUAGGAAAUCUUUGGAAGAGACUCUAAGAAAAGACUUAGAGUACUUGGAUCUAACGGAGGAUAUGACACAAAACCGAGCGCAAUGGCGUUCUAGGAUUCAUAUAGCCGACCCCACUUAGUGGGAAAAGGCUUUGUUGUUGUUGUUGUUGUUAGUUUUCGAACAUAUUAGGUUUGUAACUUAUUUUUUCGCUUUUGGGUUUGUUACUUAUUUUAUUUUGGUUGUAUGUUAAUUUAACUUGGUAUGAAUAAUUGCUAUUUCAAUUUGUAUGAAAUUUGGGAAUACUGAACCAUCCCAAAAUACUGAAAAUAUUUCGAGAAUCUCGAAAAUUGGAAAUACCGAAAUUUUGGUUUGGGAUUGGUCUUCAAAUUCCAGUCCUGAAAGUUUUUAGUUUGGGAUUCGGGUUCCCACUUUCGGUUUGCAAUCCCAUACCGAACCUAAUAUAUUGUAUUGCUCUUUCUCUCUUCUUUGUAUCGUUAUAUAUUGUAUGAGUAAUGUUACACUUACCAUAUAUUUGUACUAUCCCUCUAAUAGAUGUAGGGUCCACCAACACUUGUGGGUAUCAUCUCUAUUACAGAGAUAAUACAAAUAAUGAUACAAGGAUGUGGUAAGGGUAGAAUUUUGGAUACAAUAUUUCUUAUAUAUUGUAUUUUUUGUUGCGAGUAAUGCUACAUUUACCAUAUUUUUUAUACAACAUUUAUACCAUUUUUCUAAUAAAGGAGGGUCCACCAACACAUGCGUGUCUCAUUUCUAUUAGGCCUUCCAUGGUAGGCAGAUCGAAAAAAGUGAGUGUGAUACCAAUAUAUUGAACCAUAUAGGAAUCACACUUUUAAAGUAGGUCAAAAAAUUUGAGUGUAAUACCAAUUUAUUGAACUCAUAAGUUCAAUUUAUCACACUCAUGAGUGUGGUAUCAAUAUAUUGAACUCACACCAGUCUAACUGUAGCAUUAUAAAAAUCAAACUCAUGAUGCAUGAUGCAUGAUUCCUAUAUAUAGGUAUUACACUUACUGGAACCACUGUAGAAGGCUUUAAAGAGGUGGUACAAAUAUGGUAUGAAAAAUGUGCUAAGAGUAGCAUUUUUGUUGCAAAAUAAAUAUUUGGAACAUCCACUAUUUUUCAUAUGGGGUAAAAAUCAAAGAACAUUAUGUAAAUGUACUUGAAAUAGAAAUUGUAAGGGUAGUUCAUCUAAAUUUUCAGUCUUAAAUAGUUCGGCCUGCUUGAACGAGCCGGAGAACGAACUGGAAAAAUACCACCAAAAUCGUGUCACGUUUCUCUAAUUCUAUGUUUGGACGAAGGACUUUCAAGGUGUCGUUUUAAAAAGUUCUCUCUUAUGUUGUGCAUUCCUAAAUAAUUUAGCCUAUGCCCAUGAAACUUUCAAGUCAGAAGUUCUAAAAACCCUUGAAAACUCUCACAAUGACUAAGGAAUUGGGUUAUAAAAGCUUUGAAGUUUGGUAUAAAAUUUCUAAAUUUUUUAGCAGUGCAAGAAACAUCAUAUUUUUCAUAAAAAGAUCUCUCAUUUCAUUACAUAAACUUAGAUUUACAAAAUUACCUGAUAUUUACACGCAAGUAGAAAAAAUGUACUGCGAGGCCGGGAACGGGCUUGGUAUCGGACCCCUGCGAUACGGUGAGUUCGACAAAUCCGGGUGAGACCAUGAAUCAUAUUGAGAUAACACAAGUUGACAUGAUCCAGUUUUCAGAAAUCAUUCAACUCCAGGUAAAACCAUAACCAUUUUAAUGCAGAUAUCUUAACUAGAUGCUAGAAGAGUAUCCACAAAAAUAAAAUUGGGUACAAAAUACUUACAUUUUUAUUUGAGGUACCAACAAACACGACUGCACGAACCCUCCAUAAAAUUUACCAAAGGAGUCCUUUUCUGCAGCACAUGAAGAUGCAUCGAUACGAAUAAGCUAGGCACCGUCGUUGUUCUCAAGUAAAUCCGGGACCAGGAAAGUUCCUUUGAGCACCAAAAGGCCACAGCCUGCUUAAGCCAAAAUCCAAAUUAGACUCCCUUUUUUCGGUGCAUGUAAGCCUCACCUUAUCAUAGAGUAUGGUGUAGUUUGAGCUGCUUAUGUUUCUGAAAUAACAUGAUUGGGGACCAUCGAAUCUAUACACUUGCUGUGUACUCCCCAAUCCCCUAACUAGCAGAUUGUUUUUUACAACGAUAAUAACCUCGGCAUUUUGCAGAUUUUGGAGAGAGCUGUUCGAGAAUCGUGAACCAGCACUUGCAGACUUCUUCUCAAUAAAUCCCAAUUCGACAUUUGUAACGACUGUAUAUGAUUCAUUUGCUUGCUCCAUGUAGUCAGUGUACAAGUAAAGAGGAAAUGUUUUGUUUGAUGACAUUGAGUGAAUACUGGAGGAUGGCGGCCUGAUAUUGAUUGUAUCGUUGAAAUGGAUGACCUGAUUCACUAUCUGUGUAUUACCAUCAUUCCUCAUGACCAUUGUAUUGCUGUACUGGAAGUCUUGAAUUGCAUCAGUUGUGAUAUUCCCAUAGGAGGACUUCACCCAUCCAGUCGAUGACACAGACCUGCCGGCCCUAGUAAAAAAUGUGCCAUUUAAACCCUUGAAAUCUGAAACCAAUGAAACAACAAGGGGCAAGCUACUAUGCUUCAAAAGCUCACCUUCAGUUUUCGUGCUCCGCUUGUCCAACCAAAGAUGCAAAUUCGCAUCAAGAAGCCAAACAUUCAAGGCAUUUGUAACACUAAAACCAAACUUGUGUCUCUUCCCAUCCAAUAUCUUCCCUAAGAAGGGCGUGAUUUCAAUAUCAUAAGAAGGGAGAUCGAACGAGCCAAUUGCAGUAAUAGGUCUCCACAGGAGCGGAUUGACCCCUCCAGUGAAAAUCACAGUAAAAGGCCAGACUGCACCAACAACCUCACCAUCUAAACUCACCACAACCUCCCUAAAAGGCCCAUUUCCAGGCGUACCACUAAGAUUGUUUGCAGCAAUGUACUCAUUCGGAGGAUUUGAAUACCAAAACUCAUCAUUCUCAUGAAAUGAAACAUACACCUCCAACACAGCCCUAUAAGCAUUCUGUGGAAUCUCAAAUUCCUUCAACUGUGUAUCGGUCGAAUUCUGGAUUUCAAACCACAACCCAUCAUUCAAAGGCUGAUUUCUCGAAAUGGGCAAGAUUAAAUCGGCCCAAGAAUGGUACCCAGAAUCCAAAUUUACCAAAUUUUGCUCAUAGUUAUAAUUCAAAUUCUUCUCAGCAGGGUAAAAAUGGAUGCUAAUAUUCACAUGGUAAAUCCCAGUAUAUGUUUCAUUUACUAAAUUCCCAAGAUAAACAGCUAGUGUUUGAUUCUUCUGAAGCAAAGAAUAGUACCUUGUGAUGUCCUUCUUGACACUCCAAACAAUCCCAGUCUGCGUCGGCUCAGCCGUGCAGCCCCUGAGAAGCUCAACGCCGCCGAGCCAAACCCCGAAAAUUCGAUCAUAUUGCCUCCCUCUGCAGGUGGCUUUCCACUCGAGGACAAUUUUGGAAAAUGAUUGAGAUGGGCAGUGCGAGGGAGGGUUGUAGUUAGCAAAGACCGGAGGUUUGCCGUAUGUGUACCCGAAGUCGUGCUGGAGAACGUGCUGGGUGCAGGGCUUGGUUUUGGGGAGUUCUAUGGGUUUGGUUACUUCGAAGAAGAGAGUUGGUGCGGCGUCGUUUCGAAGGGUGGGCUGGGAGAGGAGCUCGGAUCGGAGGAGGUUGAGUUUGUGGACAUUGGCGGCAGAAAAGAGUGGUUGGUGAAGGAGGAGCGGGAGGAGGAGGAGGAGGAGGAGGGCCAACGGAGAGCCCAUGAGUGACUGGCUGGUGGUCUAGCUGU